Molecule: long non-coding RNA, 302 nt
Filed under: Manihot esculenta (cassava)
Lineage: Eukaryota; Viridiplantae; Streptophyta; Magnoliopsida; Malpighiales; Euphorbiaceae
Description: long non-coding RNA (MESC_LNC003410)
Source: RNAcentral
AUAGUUAUUACAGGCUGGAAAGGCCGUGGGCUGGCCCUUUUAUUCGACGCUUAGUGACAGUGAGUGUGAUGCCUUAGUUUAUUUCUUUGGAUGGUGCUUCUUGUGGCAACGUUGGCCUUCGCAUACAUUGAUUGGUUUGUUCUUAUCCUGCUUUCUCCGUGACAUGCAUGGGGUGAUUUGGUUGUGGUUGCCACUUUCUUUUUUCUGGUUGUUGCUGGAUCUUCUUCUUCUCUAGAGUUGUUCAAUCAUUUAUUCGUUUGUUGUUGUCUUCUCUGGUAUGCGGUGCGGCCAUGGCAGACACG